This 119-nucleotide ribosomal RNA is filed under the name Lepisosteus oculatus (spotted gar). The record is from RNAcentral. Lineage: Eukaryota; Metazoa; Chordata; Actinopteri; Semionotiformes; Lepisosteidae.
AUUAGCAGUGAUAUCACCCUGCAACUCACAACUGGCAACCCACUGAAGCUAAGCAGGUGUGAGCCUGGUCAGUACCUGAACAGGAGACCUCCUGGGAAAAACUAAGGUUGCUGCUGGAA